Long non-coding RNA from Lepus europaeus (European hare), 1369 nucleotides. RefSeq lists it as uncharacterized. NCBI's taxonomy places the organism in Eukaryota, Metazoa, Chordata, Mammalia, Lagomorpha, Leporidae. The record is from RefSeq and is a predicted model, not a curated record. The transcript has 3 exons.
GUGGGGUCGACAUGGGGAAGGAGCUGGAGCCGGAGCCCGGCCUGGGCUGCCGAGGCACUGGCUGGAGGCUGCCAGGGCACGCACUGCGUCCCUUCUCCGAGCCGGACACGGGGAUCCAGCAGCGAGCGCCUGAGAUGCCCUGUGCUGUUCCCUGGGAUCUUCAGGAGCCUUUGCUCCGGCCGCAUGGCCAGGACUCCAGGCCUGGUGCCAGCAGCUGUUGGUGGUUUCUGGACCUCUGGGUGAUUCUGCCAAGACCUCAGCCUUCCCCACGCACAGGACAGAGUCUGCUGUGGACACGAGCCCUCCCUGGCUGACGCUCCACUGAGGACUGAACUGGAUGUCAAGGGCAGCUCAAGGGUACAGCAGGGGCCGCAGCCGCCGCCUGCCCGCCGCACCUGCUGGGCUCCAGUGUCUGGGGCUGGGGGUCACUUCCUGACCCCGCUUGGACUUGGUUCCUCCUCCAGUCCCUGCCUGCGACCUGGGGCCAGGUCUCCCUGACCACGCCUUCCCUCGGGCUGUGUCUCAGCGGAAGCCGCACUGGCAGCAGGCGUGAGACAGGGGUCGGGAGGGGCUCUGCACGGGCUGGAGGCUGUGGGGACUUCCUAGGGGACACUUUCCCUGGUGGCUUGGGAGGAGUAGGGGCCUGGCCUCAGGGUGCUCCAGCCCUGGGGGCGUGGUGGGGCUGCAGCUAGAGGGGCAGUAGGGGCAGUGUCCGGGAAAGAUAGAGUUCCCAGGUGAGGAGGCGCCGAGGCCAGGGAGAUGCACUAGGAAAGACACAGCCAGCUCCGGUGCGAUGCUGCCACCUGCAGGCCCGAGGGGCUGCCCAGGCUCCAUCUCAGGAUGCUGUGUCCCAGUCGGACCCCUGGAGCUCCUCCCACCAUGGCUGGAUGCUGGCCCUGGGAGCAGAGGCUGGCAACCCCCGUCCCCACUGCUCCCUUGUCCAUCUGUGAGUAGACCCCUAGGGAGGCGGUCGGCCAUCUCAGUGCCUUCCCGUAGCUGGGGUGGGGAGGAGGCGCAGGCAGGGCGGCGUAAACACCGGCCCUUUACUUUCCCGUAGCUGGGGAGGCUGGGAUGGCCCAGAUGCCAGGGCUGGUUUUCAGCAAGUCCUCUGCCCAUGGCGCCUCUGCUGUGUCCUUGCUUACGAGGUCCUCGGCCCUGUUGGGCCAGAGCCCCGCCCCGAUGACCUCAUACCCCCUUCAGCACAGCCCUGGAGGUCCCGUCUUGCAUGCAGUGACACAGGGCUCAGGGCUUGGGCCCGUAUGGACUCUGGGGGAGACGGUUCUGUGUGUCAGGCAUGGAGAGCUGGGGCCAUCGCCUCUUCAACCAGGGAUGGGGAGGAGCAGAUGUGGAGAGGUGCCAGGUGCAGGGC